RNAcentral lists this ribosomal RNA (612 nucleotides) under uncultured bacterium. Its description in RNAcentral is "bacterial SSU rRNA". The stretch from base 1 to 538 matches the Rfam family "Bacterial small subunit ribosomal RNA", at positions 338 to 873 of the family's 1533-position model. The record is from RNAcentral.
CCUACGGGAGGCAGCGGUGGGGAAUUUUGGACAAUGGGCGCAAGCCUGAUCCAGCAAUGCCGCGUGCAGGAUGAAGGCCUUCGGGUUGUAAACUGCUUUUGUACGGAACGAAACGGCGAGCUCUAAUAAAGUUUGCUAAUGACGGUACCGUAAGAAUAAGCACCGGCUAACUACGUGCCAGCAGCCGCGGUAAUACGUAGGGUGCGAGCGUUAAUCGGAAUUACUGGGCGUAAAGCGUGCGCAGGCGGUUAUAUAAGACAGAUGUGAAAUCCCCGGGCUCAACCUGGGACCUGCAUUUGUGACUGUAUAGCUAGAGUACGGUAGAGGGGGAUGGAAUUCCGCGUGUAGCAGUGAAAUGCGUAGAUAUGCGGAGGAACACCGAUGGCGAAGGCAAUCCCCUGGACCUGUACUGACGCUCAUGCACGAAAGCGUGGGGAGCAAACAGGAUUAGAUACCCUGGUAGUCCACGCCCUAAACGAUGUCAACUGGUUGUUGGGUCUUCACUGACUCAGUACGAAGCUAACGCGNGAGUGACGCGNGGAGGUAACGGUCGCGAGUUAGUAAGUUAAGUUAGAGUUGNGNGNGAGAGNGCGAGCGACGACGAGGAGGAGG